This 33-nucleotide small RNA is filed under the name Bombyx mori (domestic silkworm). RNAcentral's name for it is "ovarian small RNA-36884". The record is from RNAcentral. Lineage: Eukaryota; Metazoa; Arthropoda; Insecta; Lepidoptera; Bombycidae.
UUAUGUCUAUGCAAGUACUCGCCGUUAGUGUCU